Molecule: ribosomal RNA, 300 nt
Filed under: uncultured Rubritalea sp.
Lineage: Bacteria; Pseudomonadati; Verrucomicrobiota; Verrucomicrobiia; Verrucomicrobiales; Rubritaleaceae
Description: bacterial SSU rRNA
Rfam family: Bacterial small subunit ribosomal RNA
Source: RNAcentral
GUCAACGCCGUGCCCGCAGCGGUGUUAGUACAGGGGGUGCGUGCAGUAAUCGCGUUUACUGGGCGUAAAGUGCGCGUAGGUGGUUAGAUAAGUCAAAUGGGAAAUGCCCGAGGUUAACUUUGGAAUUUGAUUCGAUACUGGUUAGCUAGAGUAUGGGAGAGGAUGGUAGAAUUCCAGGUGUAGCGGUGAAAUGCGUAGAGAUCUGGAGGAAUACCGAUGGCGAAGGCAGCCAUCUGGCCUAAUACUGACACUGAGGUGCGAAAGCAUGGGGAGCAAACAGGAUUAGAUACCCGUGUAGUC